Molecule: RNase P RNA, 381 nt
Filed under: bacterium DOLJORAL78_65_58
Lineage: Bacteria
Also listed under: 1 other name
Description: RNase P RNA component class A
Rfam family: Bacterial RNase P class A
About the family: Ribonuclease P (RNase P) is a ubiquitous endoribonuclease, found in archaea, bacteria and eukarya as well as chloroplasts and mitochondria.
Source: RNAcentral
GAAGUCGGAGAGACAGUCACGGGUCCAUUCCCGCCAAAGGAAAGGUUUCGAGGAAAGUCCGAGCUCCACAGGGCAGGGUGCUGGUUAACGGCCAGGGGGAGCGAUCCCACGGAAAGUGCCACAGAAAACAAACCGCCACGCCUUCGGGACGUGGUAAGGGUGAAACGGCGAGGUAAGAGCUCACCGCGUCUUCGGCGACGAAGAUGGCAGGGUAAACCCCACCUGGAGCAAGACCAAAUAGAGGAGGAUGAGGCGGCCCGCCUCGUCAGCACUCCCGGGUAGGUCGCUAGAGGAUGUCGGCAACGGCAUUCCCAGAUACAUGACUGUCGCCGGCGCUGCGGCGUUCCGGUAACAGAACUCGGCUUAUGACCGGCUUCUCAC